RNAcentral lists this unclassified non-coding RNA (290 nucleotides) under plant metagenome. RNAcentral describes it as "partial contains small subunit ribosomal RNA, internal transcribed spacer 1, and 5.8S ribosomal RNA". The record is from RNAcentral.
UUUCCGUAGGUGAACCUGCGGAAGGAUCAUUAUUGAAUAAACUUGGUUAAGUUGUUGCUGGCUCUUAGGAGCAUGUGCACGCUUAAUCCAUUUUUAUAACCACCUGUGCACCUUGUGUAGAUCUGAUAAACUCGAGGAAACUCGGUUUGAGAAUCGCUGCGCGCAAGCCAGCUCUUCUUAUCUUCAGAUCUAUGUUUUCACAUACCCCAUAGAAUGUAUUCGAAUGUCGUAAUCGGCCUUCGUGCCUUUAAAAUCUAAUACAACUUUCAACAACGGAUCUCUUGGCUCUC